This 61-nucleotide transfer RNA is filed under the name Sinergasilus undulatus. Its description in RNAcentral is "tRNA-Pro". Lineage: Eukaryota; Metazoa; Arthropoda; Copepoda; Poecilostomatoida; Ergasilidae. The record is from RNAcentral.
UUUAAGAUAGUUUAAAAAAUAUUAAUUUUGGAGAUUAAAGAUAACUAUAAGUUUCUUUAAA